Sander lucioperca (pikeperch) is the source of this 100-nucleotide long non-coding RNA. RefSeq lists it as uncharacterized. NCBI's taxonomy places the organism in Eukaryota, Metazoa, Chordata, Actinopteri, Perciformes, Percidae. The record is from RefSeq and is a predicted model, not a curated record. The transcript is spliced from 3 exons.
UGUUCACCAGCUAAGACUGGCAAACCAGCUUCCAUUGAAGAUAAAUGACUUCCUGUAACUUUGAAGCUCAAGUCAGCGGCGGUGUGUAUGUACAGUUAGC